Long non-coding RNA from Ornithodoros turicata, 533 nucleotides. RefSeq lists it as uncharacterized. The record is from RefSeq and is a predicted model, not a curated record. Lineage: Eukaryota; Metazoa; Arthropoda; Arachnida; Ixodida; Argasidae. The transcript is spliced from 3 exons.
UGCGUUCGCACGCCUUUUUCUGGCUCCCGUUCUCUCGCGUUCCGUCGUUGCUCUGGUGCCCUGGACUGCUGUGAAUGUGUUUUUAUGCCCUACUAGUGUUGCCUGGGGGUGCUUUUAUGUGUGCACCCUGGAAGAUAGGUCCAGAAGCCUUGCGAUUUCUUAGAUUAAAGCUAAGUGUACUCGUGACCCUACCAGCACUUUCCAAGAUACUUUCGACGUAUUCAUUGCGGUGAACAACGCUGUUGGGACAGCACACUCACGACGUGGGAAGGUCACAGAAAUGUUGAAAGACAUCAGGUAAGUUACGCUAAAGUGCGUUUCAGAGCUCUUCAGUGACUUGUGUUUACUGCGAAACAGAUUGUGCAUACGCUUCACCCGUGCAACUUCGUCAUGUGCUCCACGGCAGCACAAGCCUUUACGGCUGUGCCACUGUAUGUAAAAAAUGCUGAGUGAUUUUAAUAAAGAAUUUGCAGGGAAGUACAAUGUGUCGCACAUUGUUGACUCUUUUACAGAUGUGUGGAAACGCAGAUGAA